GGAGUACUGGGUGCAAUGGAUGGCUAUUAUUCUCCAGAGUUUAGGGGAGAUUUUGGUGCUGGACUUUUGGAUCUCCAUGCUAUGGAUGAUACCGAGCUUUUGUCUGAGCACGUUAUCUCAGAACCAUUCGAGCCGUCACCAUUCAUUCCUAGUGGUACUAGACCAUUUGAGGAUGAAUUUAAUAUAGCCAGCAGCAGGCAGCAAAGAAGCCAAGCUGAUGAAGAUGCUGUGGCCAUGUUACCCGUGACUGAAAAAGAGAAUGUUGCCAGAGAAAAUAACGUGGCUAAAAUCAAAG
Molecule: unclassified non-coding RNA, 295 nt
Filed under: Hevea brasiliensis (rubber tree)
Lineage: Eukaryota; Viridiplantae; Streptophyta; Magnoliopsida; Malpighiales; Euphorbiaceae
Source: RNAcentral